UAGGGAAUCUUCGGCAAUGGACGAAAGUCUGACCGAGCAACGCCGCGUGAGUGAAGAAGGUUUUCGGAUCGUAAAACUCUGUUGUUAGAGAAGAACAAGGACGUUAGUAACUGAACGUCCCCUGACGGUAUCUAACCAGAAAGCCACGGCUAACUACGUGCCAGCAGCCGCGGUAAUACGGAGGUGGCAAGCGUUGUCCGGAUUUAUUGGGCGUAAAGCGAGCGCAGGCGGUUUCUUAAGUCUGAUGUGAAAGCCCCCGGCUCAACCGGGGAGGGUCAUUGGAAACUGGGAGACUUGAGUGCAGAAGAGGAGAGUGGAAUUCCAUGUGUAGCGGUGAAAUGCGUAGAUAUAGGGAGGAACACCAGUGGCGAAGGCGGCUCUCUGGUCUGUAACUGACGCUGAGGCUCGAAAGCGUGGGGAGCAAACAGG
This 429-nucleotide ribosomal RNA is filed under the name Gemmatimonadota bacterium. Its description in RNAcentral is "Gemmatimonadetes bacterium partial 16S ribosomal RNA". It matches the Rfam family "Bacterial small subunit ribosomal RNA", at positions 355 to 776 of the family's 1533-position model. The record is from RNAcentral. Lineage: Bacteria; Pseudomonadati; Gemmatimonadota.